Molecule: long non-coding RNA, 1229 nt
Organism: Zea mays
Lineage: Eukaryota; Viridiplantae; Streptophyta; Magnoliopsida; Poales; Poaceae
Exons: 2
Source: RefSeq, a predicted model, not a curated record
CUGGGCUAGCAGCUCAUCGAAUCGGAUGCAUUAGCGACUUAGCGUCAACGCGUUUGGGAUAUCCAUAGUUUACACUUGAAAUGAACAAUUAAUGUUUGCUACGUGUCUUGAAGGAAAAAAAGAACGUAAAUUAGUAAAUUACAGGAACAGAACUACUAGUACCUUCUGUAGAGCAUGGUAUUAGCAAAGUGUAUAUUGGCGUACGUAUAGUACAAGCAAAGGAAAAAAAGAAAAGCUAAGGUUAAUUAAAUGAUGAUGAACAUCAUCCUCUCUAGAUCUUUACACUUGAGAUCGACCAUCAUCACAAAUUUUCCGUCAUCGUCAACACCUGGAUGUCCCAUCCCAUGUCUCUCGCCACCAAACCAAGCUAGCUUCAAACCAAUACGUAUUCGUAUCGAUCAACCCUCACAAAUAAAGCAUGCAACGGCGGGAGAGAGAAGGGGGAAAAGGACCGAAUUUUUUGUAUUUUAGCCCUUAAACAGAAGUAAAAUCACGUUUAGACCUAAAAAAAUUUUAAAUGCAGUUUUGGACCCUUUGCUCGGCGCCAUAGCCUAUGGCGCCGAGCUAACACAGCUCGGCGCCAUAGGCUAUGGCGCUGAGGUCGUGUUGCGUUGGCACACCCCAGACGCGUGGCGUCGACGUGGAACCGAGCUCGGCGCCACAGAUCUUGGCGCCGAGCUCGGUUGUGUUAUUAAAAUAUAUGUUGCGGACAUGAGCACAAAGCCCAUCUAGCCUACUUGGUAGAGCACAAGGCUUCUAACCAUGUGGUCGUGGGUUCAAGCCCCAUAGUUUGCAUUUUUUUUGUUUUUUUUGUUUAUGUCGUUGGUGUGUCCGCUUAAAUUUAUUUCUCGCCUAGAUUUUUGUUUAUCUUCCAGGUGCACUCGAUGAUGCUGCCAUUACAGAGUCAUUAGAACUACACAAAAUUAAGAGCCGCCAAUGGGCGAUUUUCAAAACAUCUGCAAUAAAGGGAGAGGGGCUCUUCGAAGGUUUGGACUGGCUCAGUAACACGCUCAAAUCUGGAAGCAGCUAAGGAGCCUCCGCCUCGUCAUGAAUCAUUUGCUGGAGGCUAAAGAAUAGCCGAUGCUUGCAAGUCAGCGCGCAAAUCCCAUUCUCUUUGUUUUAACUCCAGAAGUUCUACACCGCCAUCAAUUAUCUGUAAAGUGCGUGUUAAAUUUUUUGGAUACUACAUUAGAUGUACCCCCAGGUUGAGAUCAAGAAUAGGUCUGUGG